UGAACGCUAGCGGCAGGCUUAAUACAUGCAAGUCGAGGGGUAACGACAUCUUCGGAUGGGCGACGACCGGCGCACGGGUGCGUAACACGUAUGCAACCUACCUUUAACUGGGGAAUAGCCCCGAGAAAUCGGGAUUAACACCCCAUAAUAUUCAUCUUUCGCAUGUCUGAUGAAUUAAAACUCCGGUGGUUAAAGAUGGGCAUGCGCGACAUUAGUUAGUUGGUGAGGUAACGGCUCACCAAGACAGCGAUGUCUAGGGGUUCUGAGAGGAACAUCCCCCACACUGGUACUGAGACACGGACCAGACUCCUACGGGAGGCAGCAGUAAGGAAUAUUGGUCAAUGGGCGAAAGCCUGAACCAGCCAUGCCGCGUGCAGGAUGACAGCCCUAUGGGUUGUAAACUGCUUUUAUAUAGGAAGAAACUUUCGUACGUGUACGAAACUGACGGUACUAUAUGAAUAAGGACCGGCUAACUCC
Molecule: ribosomal RNA, 477 nt
Filed under: uncultured bacterium
Lineage: Bacteria
Description: bacterial SSU rRNA
Rfam family: Bacterial small subunit ribosomal RNA
Source: RNAcentral